Molecule: ribosomal RNA, 627 nt
Filed under: uncultured Acidobacteriota bacterium
Lineage: Bacteria; Pseudomonadati; Acidobacteriota
Description: bacterial SSU rRNA
Rfam family: Bacterial small subunit ribosomal RNA
Source: RNAcentral
GAUAACGUCCCGAAAGGACGCUUAAUACCGCAUGACAUCCUGCCUUUGAAGAGGUGGAGAUCAAAGCUGGGGAUCGCAAGACCUAGCACUUGAAGAGGGGCCCGCGCCUGAUUAGCUAGUUGGUGGGGUAACGGCUCACCAAGGCAACGAUCAGUAUCCGGCCUGAGAGGGCGGACGGACACACUGGGACUGAGACACGGCCCAGACUCCUACGGGAGGCAGCAGUGGGGAAUUGUUCGCAAUGGGCGCAAGCCUGACGACGCAACGCCGCGUGGAGGAUGAAGACCUUCGGGUCGUAAACUCCUUUCGAUCGAGACGAAUGGCUUCCGGGUGAACAAUCCGGGAGAAUGACGGUACCGAGAGAAGAAGCCCCGGCUAACUCCGUGCCAGCAGCCGCGGUAAUACGGGGGGGGCAAGCGUUGUUCGGAAUUACUGGGCGUAAAGGGCUCGUAGGCGGCCAACUAAGUCAGACGUGAAAUCCCUCGGCUUAACCCGGGGAACUGCAUCUGAUACUGGAUGGCUUGGGAUUGGGAGAGGGAUGCGGAAUUCCAGGUGUAGCGGUGAAAUGCGUAGAUAUCUGGAGGAACACCGGUGGCGAAGGCGGCAUUCUGGACCAACACUGACGCU